UGGGCAUUGAGGGAGCGAGUCAGACUCCAGCUCUCCCGCUUUGUACGCCAUGAUUCGUGCACCUGUUGUGAGGGGACAUUCCAAAGGUUCGUUUGAAUUGCAUGUGACGUGAAUUCCGACCGGAGGUCUUGUGAUGGUCUUGAGAGGUCUCAACUACAACUCUGAUGGUUUGUGUACGGACUACAAUUUAAUUCAAGCAUGUCUGUCUACUUACAUGCCGUGCAUGCCCAGCGACUCCCACAGUACUGCCGUGGUGAUGAUGGUCAAAAUCAGAGGAAAGCCUAAAGUGUUUAAACAGGGAUGUACAUCUUGAGCCGCUCAGCAUGGACAAAGACUACGAUGACCUGGAAGUAGAUCUGCACUCCCUCGAUCAGCAUCCAGCAG
This 384-nucleotide long non-coding RNA is filed under the name Acanthaster planci (crown-of-thorns starfish). RNAcentral describes it as "uncharacterized LOC110989912, transcript variant X2". The record is from RNAcentral. Lineage: Eukaryota; Metazoa; Echinodermata; Asteroidea; Valvatida; Acanthasteridae.